RNAcentral lists this ribosomal RNA (491 nucleotides) under uncultured bacterium. RNAcentral describes it as "bacterial SSU rRNA". It matches the Rfam family "Bacterial small subunit ribosomal RNA", at positions 33 to 518 of the family's 1533-position model. The record is from RNAcentral.
ACGACGCUGGCGGCGUGCCUAACACAUGCAAGUCGAACGAAGCUCCUGAUCUGAUCCUUCGGGUGAAGUGAAGGAAGACUUAGUGGCGGACGGGUGAGUAACGCGUGAGCAACCUGCCUUUCAGAGGGGGAUAACAGUUGGAAACGACUGCUAAUACCGCAUAACAUAUCGUUGUCGCAUGGCAAUGGUAUCAAAGCUGAGGCGCUGAGAGAUGGGCUCGCGUCCGAUUAGAUAGUUGGUGGGGUAACGGCCUACCAAGUCGACGAUCGGUAGCCGGACUGAGAGGUUGAACGGCCACAUUGGGACUGAGACACGGCCCAGACUCCUACGGGAGGCAGCAGUGGGGGAUAUUGCACAAUGGGCGAAAGCCUGAAUGCAGCAACGCCGCGUGAGGGAAGACGGUUUUCGGAUUGUAAACCUCUGUCUUUGGUGAAGAAGGAAGUGACGGUAACCAAGGAGGAAGCCACGGCUAACUACGUGCCAGCCGCAGC